Long non-coding RNA from Solenopsis invicta (red fire ant), 374 nucleotides. RefSeq lists it as uncharacterized. The record is from RefSeq and is a predicted model, not a curated record. The transcript is spliced from 2 exons. Lineage: Eukaryota; Metazoa; Arthropoda; Insecta; Hymenoptera; Formicidae.
UUUAUUGAUAACUUUGCAUCUCAAUAUAAUUUUAUGGGCAUUAAACAAAAAUCUGCGUUUAGCAAAUUACAGUUAUGUAAAUGUAUUAAACGAGCUAUAAAACUGUGUGAAUCACAAUCUACAGAAAAACAAGUUGAAGAUGCUAUAAAAAUAUGGUUAAAACAUGCUCCACAACAGAUGGAAAAAAAAUAACAGGAAUAUCGCUUAAGUCAUCUCAACAGAUGUUACUAUUUAUUUAUAAUAUACGUAAUAUUUAAAUAUUUUUAAGAUGAUAAAAAGGAAGGAGCAGGUAGGCAAACGUCAAUUCUAUCGACGUGUCAGUCAUGAAGUUCAAAGUAUACUCAACGAAAUAAAUUUGACUUGUACUAAUGCAC